CUUGUGCUUUCGAGUAAGAACCCCACUAACAAAACAAACCACAAGCUAUCUUUUGUAUCAUUUCUUGUUCUUUCCCACAAUAUUCAAACCAAAAACACACCCAAAUAUAUGUUAGCAAAUACAUUAAUGAUCCUUAAAACCACAUACUAGCUAGCUAGUACUCGUAAUUAUCAACACCUUUCUUUAUGAUCAUCAAGUCUUUAUGUUACAAACAACAGUAAUUAUGAAGAACGUUUCAAGAAACAAGUUCUUGCUAUGUUUUAAGCCAGUUGUUGAUAUGGAUCAGCUAGUACUUAAUCACUCCAAAGUUGGUGUUGUUGAUCACUCAACAGACAAGUCUUUGAAGCAUCUUUCCAGGGACAAGAAGGAAAGGGAUCAUAUGAAGCGUUUGGUCCCAAAUUCUUCUUUGCUUUCAGAAGAUAAUGAUACGUGUUCAGCAAUAAUUUCUUCAUCGGAGAAUUCAUUGAUUCUUCAUUCUUCAAAGAAAAACUUAUCUCGUGUGAUCAAGGCCGUUUUCUUCGAGACCAUACUGUCCAAGAGAAUUCACGAUAGAAAAGGUAAUCUAUGUCAAGACUCGAAUAUUGGAUCAAAGCCUUCUUCUUCUUCUUCUUCUUCUUCUUCUUCUUCACCACCACCACCACCACCAUCAAUGGACAGCAAGAAAUCUUUGGAUGAUACAAGUGAUCAUGACAAUACCAACUUGGUCAAUAAGGUAUUGAUCGAUACUCAUCAAGCUAAUGAAGUAACAUCUUGUCCAAGUUCGAUAUCAGAAUCAAGAAAAUUGUCCAAGAUAAAGAACUCAAGAAACCCAAAUCAAGAACUUGAAUUCAAGGCAAAAACCAUGGACAAGUCAGGCAUAUAUCUAUUCCUUAUUAGUCUUACGGUGACAGUUUUAUGGGGUAAGCUAUGUGCAAUAUUUUUCACCAUAAUCUGGUUGUAUUUUCUGCCUCGAAGACAGCACAAUACUAGCCGGCCCCAAAAUGUUACAAGAAGCUUGUGGUUGCCAGAGAAAGAAGAGAGCAAAGAUCAGUACUCCUACAAGAAGAAGGUCAUAAUGGAAGGGCUGCUUGAAAGGAACCAUCAGAGGGUUAACGGCAUUAAAUUCUUGACGUGAAAAUUCUAUUUUUCGUGUUUGAUGCAAUCUCUUCUUCUCUGGUUUUGAGAAAAAAAAUUAAAGUCCUGGCAGGGUUCAGGAGAUGGAUCACACGCUAGUUUCUUGUACUGUUGCCCCUUUUGCAUUUCGGGGUCUGGCAGAAUCAGAGCGCACAACAUUCUCAUUUGCUUUUUGCUCCUUUCCUAGCUUUAUUUAUUUAUUUAUUUUUUAUUUUCUUUUGGAGAAUUGUAAGAUAUUAUCAAGAGAAAAUAAUAUAAAGAAACCGGAUUAAUGUAUUAUAGAAUGGAUGGGGUCAUGGUUUGUUGGAUGCUUUUAUUUAAUUGAAAAACAAUUAUUUUAUUUAAUAA
Molecule: RNA transcript, 1461 nt
Organism: Populus trichocarpa (black cottonwood)
Lineage: Eukaryota; Viridiplantae; Streptophyta; Magnoliopsida; Malpighiales; Salicaceae
Exons: 2
Source: RefSeq, a predicted model, not a curated record